This 246-nucleotide unclassified non-coding RNA is filed under the name uncultured Mortierellaceae. RNAcentral's name for it is "partial internal transcribed spacer 2". The record is from RNAcentral. Lineage: Eukaryota; Fungi; Mortierellomycota; Mortierellomycetes; Mortierellales; Mortierellaceae.
AACACCUCAAAGCCUUCAAUUUGUUUUGAAUGGCUUUGGACUUGAGCAAUCCCAACACCAGUCUUUACGAUCGGUGGAGGGUUGCUUGAAAUGCAGGUGCAGCUGGACAUUCUCCUGAGCUAAAAGCAUAUUUAUUUAGUCCCGUCAAACGGAUUAUUACGUUUGCUGCAGCUAACAUAAAGGGAGUUUGAACGUAUUGGCUGACGGAUGCAGGAUUGCACAAGGGUCGGAAACGAUUCUUGUUAA